CCUAACACAUGCAAGUCGAACGAAGCUCGAUGCUUUGAGUUUUCGGACAAGAAGCAAAGAUGACUUAGUGGCGAACGGGUGAGUAAUGCGUGAGCAACCUGCCUUUCAGAGGGGGACAACAGUUGGAAACGACUGCUAAUACCGCAUAACAUAUUGAGUAGGCAUCUACUUGAUAUCAAAGGAGCAAUCCGCUGAGAGAUGGGCUCACGUCUGAUUAGCUUGUUGGUGAGGUAACGGCUCACCAAGGCGACGAUCAGUAGCCGGUCUGAGAGGAUGAACGGCCACAUUGGGACUGAGAUACGGCCCAGACUCCUACGGGAGGCAGCAGUGGGGAAUAUUGGGCAAUGGGCGAAAGCCUGACCCAGCAACGCCGCGUGAAGGAAGAAGGCUUUCGGGUUGUAAACUUCUUUUAUCAGGGACGAAGUAGUGACGGUACCUGAUGAAUAAGCUCCGGCUAACUACGUGCCAGCAGCCGCGGUAAUACGUAGGGAGCAAGCGUUGUCCGGAUUUACUGGGUGUAAAGGGCGCGU
This 530-nucleotide ribosomal RNA is filed under the name uncultured bacterium. RNAcentral describes it as "bacterial SSU rRNA". It matches the Rfam family "Bacterial small subunit ribosomal RNA", at positions 47 to 572 of the family's 1533-position model. The record is from RNAcentral.